CCUACGGGUGGCAGCAGUGGGGAAUAUUGCACAAUGGGGGAAACCCUGAUGCAGCGACGCCGCGUGAGUGAAGAAGUAUUUCGGUACGUAAAGCUCUAUUAGCAGGGAAGAAAAUGACGGUACCUGACUAAUAAGCCCCGGCUAACUCCGUGCCAGCAGCCGCGGUAAUACGUAGGGUGCAAGCGUUAUCCGGAUUUACUGGGUGUAAAGGGAGCGUAGGCGGGAGCGUAAGUCUGGUGUGAAAGCCCAUGGCUUAACCAUGGAACUGCUUUGGAAACUGUGCAGCUGGAGUGCAGGAGAGGUAGGCGGAAUUCCUGGUGUAGCGGUGAAAUGCGUAGAUAUUAGGAGGAACACCAAUGGCGAAGGCGACUUACUGGACUGUAACUGACGUUGAGGCUCGAAAGCGUGGGGAGCAAACAGGAUUAGAUACCCUAGUAGUC
RNAcentral lists this ribosomal RNA (440 nucleotides) under uncultured bacterium. Its description in RNAcentral is "partial 16S ribosomal RNA". It matches the Rfam family "Bacterial small subunit ribosomal RNA", at positions 338 to 795 of the family's 1533-position model. The record is from RNAcentral.